RNAcentral lists this ribosomal RNA (496 nucleotides) under uncultured bacterium. RNAcentral describes it as "bacterial SSU rRNA". It matches the Rfam family "Bacterial small subunit ribosomal RNA", at positions 30 to 509 of the family's 1533-position model. The record is from RNAcentral.
AUUGAACGCUGGCGGCAUGCUUUUACUACAUGCAAGUCGAACGGCAGCACAGGGAGCUUGCUCCCGGGUGGCGAGUGGCGCACGGGUGAGUAAUACAUCGGAACGUGUCCUAUAGUGGGGGAGUAACUAGUCGAAAGACUAGCUAAUACCGCAUGAGACCUGAGGGUGAAAGUAGGGGAUCGCAAGACCUUGCGCUAUUGGAGUGGCCGAUGCCCGAUUAGCUAGUUGGUGAGGUAAAGGCUCACCAAGGCGACGAUCGGUAGCUGGUCUGAGAGGACGACCAGCCACACUGGGACUGAGACACGGCCCAGACUCCUACGGGAGGCAGCAGUGGGGGAAUUUUUGGACAAUGGGGGCAACCCUGAUCCAGCCAUGCCGCGUGCAGGAUGAAGGUCUUCGGAUUGUAAACUGCUUUUGUCAGGGACGAAAAGGACUGUGCUAAUACCACGGUCUGCUGACGGUAACCUGAAGAAUAAGCACCGGCUAACUACGUGCC